RNAcentral lists this ribosomal RNA (467 nucleotides) under uncultured bacterium. RNAcentral's name for it is "partial 16S ribosomal RNA". It matches the Rfam family "Bacterial small subunit ribosomal RNA", at positions 28 to 506 of the family's 1533-position model. The record is from RNAcentral.
GACGAACGCUGGCGGCGUGCUUAACACAUGCAAGUCGAACGGAAAGGCCCUGCUUUUGUGGGGUGCUCGAGUGGCGAACGGGUGAGUAACACGUGAGUAACCUGCCCUUGACUUUGGGAUAACUUCAGGAAACUGGGGCUAAUACCGGAUAGGAGCUCCUGCUGCAUGGUGGGGGUUGGAAAGUUUCGGCGGUUGGGGAUGGACUCGCGGCUUAUCAGCUUGUUGGUGGGGUAGUGGCUUACCAAGGCUUUGACGGGUAGCCGGCCUGAGAGGGUGACCGGCCCCAUGGGGAUGGGGAAACGGCCAGGACUCCUCGGGGGGGAAGGGGGGGGAAAUUUGGCCAAAUGGGCGGAGGCCUGGGGCAGCAACCCCGGGGGGGGGAUGACGGCUUUGGGGUGGUAAACCGCUUUCGCCUGUGACGAGGGGGGGGUGAGGGAAAGGGGUAAAAAAGCACCGGCUAACUACGU